This is a non-coding RNA of Gossypium raimondii (Peruvian cotton), 72 nucleotides long. The record is from Rfam. NCBI's taxonomy places the organism in Eukaryota, Viridiplantae, Streptophyta, Magnoliopsida, Malvales, Malvaceae.
GCGUAUGUAGUCCAACUGUUGGGGUAAUUGCCUUCCAAUCUAUUCACCCGGGCUCGAUUCCCGGCAAACGCA